AUUGAACGCUGGCGGCAGGCCUAACACAUGCAAGUCGAACGGUAACAGGAAGCAGCUUGCUGCUUCGCUGACGAGUGGCGGACGGGUGAGUAAUGUCUGGGAAGCUGCCUGAUGGAGGGGGAUAACUACUGGAAACGGUAGCUAAUACCGCAUAAUGUCGCAAGACCAAAGAGGGGGACCUUCGGGCCCCUUGCCAUCGGAUGUGCCCAGAUGGGAUUAGCUUGUUGGUGGGGUAACGGCUCACCAAGGCGACGAUCCCUAGCUGGUCUGAGAGGAUGACCAGCCACACUGGAACUGAGACACGGUCCAGACUCCUACGGGAGGCAGCAGUGGGGAAUAUUGCACAAUGGGCGCAAGCCUGAUGCAGCCAUGCCGCGUGUAUGAAGAAGGCCUUCGGGUUGUAAAGUACUUUCAGCGGGGAGGAAGGGAGUAAAGUUAAUACCUUUGCUCAUUGACGUUACCCGCAGAAGAAGCACCGGCUAACUCCGUG
RNAcentral lists this ribosomal RNA (490 nucleotides) under uncultured bacterium. RNAcentral's name for it is "partial 16S ribosomal RNA". It matches the Rfam family "Bacterial small subunit ribosomal RNA", at positions 30 to 507 of the family's 1533-position model. The record is from RNAcentral.